UUGGCCCAGGUGGGAUUAGCUAGUAGGUGGGGUAACGGCUCACCUAGGCGACGAUCCCUAGCUGGUCUGAGAGGAUGAUCAGCCACACUGGAACUGAGACACGGUCCAGACUCCUACGGGAGGCAGCAGUGGGGAAUAUUGCACAAUGGGGGGAACCCUGAUGCAGCCAUGCCGCGUGUGUGAAGAAGGCCUUCGGGUUGUAAAGCACUUUCAGCAGUGAGGAAGAGGUGGUGUUUAAUAGAUG
Molecule: ribosomal RNA, 244 nt
Filed under: Photobacterium sp. CCMM B643
Lineage: Bacteria; Pseudomonadati; Pseudomonadota; Gammaproteobacteria; Vibrionales; Vibrionaceae
Description: partial 16S ribosomal RNA
Rfam family: Bacterial small subunit ribosomal RNA
Source: RNAcentral